Molecule: ribosomal RNA, 460 nt
Filed under: uncultured bacterium
Lineage: Bacteria
Description: partial 16S ribosomal RNA
Rfam family: Bacterial small subunit ribosomal RNA
Source: RNAcentral
CCUACGGGGUGCAGCAGUGAGGAAUAUUGGUCAAUGGACGGGAGCCUGAACCAGCCAAGCCGCGUGAAGGAUGACUGCCCUAUGGGUUGUAAACUUCUUUUGUAAAGGAAUAAAACGAGGCACGUGUGCCUUUUUGCAUGUACUUUAUGAAUAAGGAUCGGCUAACUCCGUGCCAGCAGCCGCGGUAAUACGGAGGAUCCGAGCGUUAUCCGGAUUUAUUGGGUUUAAAGGGUGCGUAGAUGGGUUGUUAAGUCAGUUGUGAAAGUUUGCGGCUCAACCGUAACACUGCAAUUGAUACUGGCAGUCUUGAGUACAGUUGAGGUAGGCGGAAUGCGUGGUGUAGCGGUGAAAUGCUUAGAUAUCACGAAGAACCCCGAUUGCGAAGGCAGCUUACUAAACUGUGACUGACAUUGAUGCACGAAAGUGUGGGGAUCAAACAGGAUUAGAUACCCUAGUAGUC